UGGGGAAUCUUGCGCAAUGGGCGAAAGCCUGACGCAGCGACGCCGCGUGAGUGAUGAAGGCCUUCGGGUUGUAAAGCUCUGUGGAGGGGGACGAAUAAGGGUUGGUUAAUAUCCAGCCCGAUGACGGUACCCCUUUAGCAAGCACCGGCUAACUCUGUUCCAGCAGCCGCCGUAAGACAGAGGGUGCAAACGUUGUUCGGAAUUACUGGGCGUAAAGCGCGUGUAGGCUGCUUGGAAAGUCGGAUGUGAAAGCCCUGGGCUCAACCUAGGAAGUGCAUUCGAAACUUCUGAGCUGGAGUGCUGGAGAGGAAGGCGGAAUUCUCGGUGUAGAGGUGAAAUUCGUAGAUAUCGAGAGGAACACCGGUGGCGAAGGCGGCCUUCUGGACAGUAACUGACGCUGAGACGCGAAAGCGUGGGGAGCAAAC
RNAcentral lists this ribosomal RNA (425 nucleotides) under uncultured bacterium. RNAcentral's name for it is "bacterial SSU rRNA". It matches the Rfam family "Bacterial small subunit ribosomal RNA", at positions 355 to 773 of the family's 1533-position model. The record is from RNAcentral.